This 247-nucleotide ribosomal RNA is filed under the name uncultured bacterium. RNAcentral's name for it is "partial 16S ribosomal RNA". It matches the Rfam family "Bacterial small subunit ribosomal RNA", at positions 57 to 305 of the family's 1533-position model. The record is from RNAcentral.
GCAAGUCGAACGAGAACGGAACUUCGGUUCUUAUUAAAGUGGCGAAAGGGCGAGUAAUGCGUUUCUAACGUGCCCCAAGUAAGGGAUAGCAUCGAGAAAUCGUUGGUAAUACCUUAUAAUCUCCUAGCGUCGUAUGGCGUCUGGAGCAAAGAUUUAUUGCUUGGGGAGCGGGGAACGUCCUAUCAGAUUGUUGGUGGGGUAAUGGCCUACCAAGUCUAAGACGGGUAGCGGGUGUGAGAGCAUGACC